GAAGAAAUCUGCCAAGUAUUGUCUGUUUGCACAAGAACAAGAUACAGAUGGUGAACUUGAGACCAAAUUGUACAAGGCUGAUGUAUUGCCUACAUGCGGAGGUGGAGCGCAGAUUGUAUUUAAUGACAUAGAAUAUUUAAAACAAAUAUCUCCGAGCACAGCGAAAUGACAUAAUGGACAGAUAAAUCAGGAAAGAUUUCAGUAUAUACAUAAGUAUUUUAUGUAUACAUUAUCAAAAACCUACUUAAGUUGUAAAACAUAAUUCAUGAGACGAUCGCAGAAUUUAUUUUAUUCGUCGUUUGUUUAUCAUUUAUUUAACAGAUAUACUUCAGAGAAAGAGAGUAUUAUUUUCACUUCUCGUUUGGAUACUUUGGAAUUCCCACAGCCAACGUCGCAUUAUAGAUUGAGAAUAGAAGACUAAAUUUUUUUUUUACAAAUCGCAAUUGUAUUUUCUUUUUAAAUUGUAGAACGAUGUGUUUGCCACUUCUCGAAUCCAAAGUAUCCAUACAUCGUUAUGUAAAGUUGCAAAACAAACUCUGUACACUUCCCGAAAUCGUGAACAUAAAAUAGAAACAAGACUGCGACAUUAUCUUGUGUAAUAAAAGCUGCAAACACUUUGCGUACCGAUGAAUCUCAAUUUA
Linepithema humile (Argentine ant) is the source of this 641-nucleotide non-coding RNA. The record is from RefSeq and is a predicted model, not a curated record. Lineage: Eukaryota; Metazoa; Arthropoda; Insecta; Hymenoptera; Formicidae.